RNAcentral lists this ribosomal RNA (313 nucleotides) under Salmonella enterica subsp. enterica serovar Kentucky. RNAcentral's name for it is "partial 23S ribosomal RNA". It matches the Rfam family "Bacterial large subunit ribosomal RNA", at positions 1085 to 1396 of the family's 2925-position model. The record is from RNAcentral. Lineage: Bacteria; Pseudomonadati; Pseudomonadota; Gammaproteobacteria; Enterobacterales; Enterobacteriaceae.
CCAGACAGCCAGGAUGUUGGCUUAGAAGCAGCCAUCAUUUAAAGAAAGCGUAAUAGCUCACUGGUCGAGUCGGCCUGCGCGGAAGAUGUAACGGGGCUAAACCAUGCACCGAAGCUGCGGCAGCGACGCUGAUGCGUUGUUGGGUAGGGGAGCGUUCUGUAAGCCUGUGAAGGUGUGUCGUGAGGCAUGCUGGAGGUAUCAGAAGUGCGAAUGCUGACAUAAGUAACGAUAAAGCGGGUGAAAAGCCCGCUCGCCGGAAGACCAAGGGUUCCUGUCCAACGUUAAUCGGGGCAGGGUGAGUCGACCCCUAAGG